GCGAUCGGUGGAUGCCUUGGCACCAAGAGCCGAUGAAGGACGUUGGAGCCUGCGAUAAGCCUCGGGGAGUUGGUGAACGGACGGUGAUCCGAGGGUGUCCGAAUGGGGGAACCCCGCUGCAUGUGAUGUGUAGUGACCUGCCAUUGAAUGUAUAGGUGGUAGGGGGGAACGUGGGGAAGUGAAACAUCUCAGUACCCACAGGAA
RNAcentral lists this ribosomal RNA (204 nucleotides) under Rhodella violacea. RNAcentral describes it as "partial Bacterial large subunit ribosomal RNA". It matches the Rfam family "Bacterial large subunit ribosomal RNA", at positions 17 to 218 of the family's 2925-position model. The record is from RNAcentral. Lineage: Eukaryota; Rhodophyta; Rhodellophyceae; Rhodellales; Rhodellaceae.